CCAAUAGCGUAUAUUAAAGUUGUUGCAGUUAAAAAGCUCGUAGUUGAAUUUCGGGGUCAGUAGGCUGGUCGUGCCUCAGGUACGUACUGGUCUUACUGAUUCCUCCUUCCUGACGAACCGUAAUGCCAUUAAUUUGGUGUUGCGGGGAAUCUGGACUGUUACUUUGAAAAAAUUAGAGUGUUUAAAGCAGGCUAACGCUUGAAUACAUUAGCAUGGAAUAAUGAAAUCGGACGAUCGAUCCUAUUUUGUUGGUUUCUAGGAUUGACGUAAUGAUUAAUAGGGAUAGUUGGGGGCAUUAGUAUUCAAUUGUCAGAGGUGAAAUUCUUGGAUUUAUUGAAGACUAACUACUGCGAAAGCAUUUGCCAAGGAUGUUUUCAUUAAUCAAGAACGAAAGUUAGGGGAUCGAAGACGAUCAGAUACCGUCGUAGUCUUAACCAUAAACUAUGCCGACUAGGGAUCGGAUGAUGUUAAUUUUUUAAUGACUCAUUCGGCGCCUUACG
This 500-nucleotide ribosomal RNA is filed under the name uncultured Glomeromycotina. RNAcentral describes it as "partial small subunit ribosomal RNA". It matches the Rfam family "Eukaryotic small subunit ribosomal RNA", at positions 591 to 1092 of the family's 1831-position model. Lineage: Eukaryota; Fungi; Glomeromycota. The record is from RNAcentral.